CAACCCUCAAGCCCCCCAGGGGGCCUGGUGUUGGGGACCGGCCCCGCCUCGUCGCGGGUCGCCGCCCCCUAAAAUCAGUGGCGGUCCUGCCGCAGCCUCCUCUGCGUAGUAGCUUAUGAAACCUCGCACCGGAGCGCGGCUCGGCCACGCCGUUAAACCCCAACUUCUGAAA
This 172-nucleotide unclassified non-coding RNA is filed under the name Hypomyces chrysospermus. RNAcentral describes it as "partial internal transcribed spacer 2". Lineage: Eukaryota; Fungi; Ascomycota; Sordariomycetes; Hypocreales; Hypocreaceae. The record is from RNAcentral.